Molecule: long non-coding RNA, 309 nt
Organism: Gallus gallus (chicken)
Lineage: Eukaryota; Metazoa; Chordata; Aves; Galliformes; Phasianidae
Source: Ensembl
AUGAAGCAAUUUGGAAAGGUGCUGCUUGUUGGAGUGAUGCCCCCCUGGAGGAAGAUGAACUCUCAUGCAAAUAAGGCAACAACGGAGUCACUAAAGCUAAUAAUGGCCAGUUGCUUCGGCAUCUCAUUUGUGACCCAACAUCUUCUGCCACUUACAUCAGAUUGAACCCAGAGGUACUGUGAGACCUAUAGUGGGACUAUCCUCAUUUUCCACAGCCGGAGAGACCAGCAUGAACUGACCCUUCAGGCCCAUGGUUUGACUCCCUUAUAUGGAGAAAUCAGAUGCAGAUGCAAGUGCACACAUCUGUAA